ACAAAAUACAGUUAAAGGAACAGCGCGCACACAAACAAAAAUAGAGCUUUACAUUUAACGAUAUGGCCAUAUGGAGGAACUGAAUGCCCAUGUUUAUUUUCUAAGAUAGGUAAUUUUAAGUAGCCUUGUUAAAUGUAAAGCUAUAUUUUUGUUUGUUAGUGCACUGCUCCUUUAACUGUAUUUUAUCUUUAGACUUAACACUGCCCAUUAGUCUGCAUAUUGAAAGGAGAGAAAGAAAAUGUUAGUGAAAAGGUAAC
Molecule: non-coding RNA, 257 nt
Organism: Pelobates cultripes (western spadefoot toad)
Lineage: Eukaryota; Metazoa; Chordata; Amphibia; Anura; Pelobatidae
Source: the annotation of a GenBank genome assembly